CCUACGGGUGGCAGCAGUGGGGAAUAUUGCACAAUGGGGGAAACCCUGAUGCAGCGACGCCGCGUGAGUGAAGAAGUAUUUCGGUAUGUAAAGCUCUAUCAGCAGGGAAGAAAAGGACGGUACCUGAGUAAGAAGCCCCGGCGAACGACGUGCCAGCAGCCGCGGUAAGACGUAGGGGGCAAGAGUUAUCCGGAUUUACUGGGUGUAAAGGGAGCGUAGACGGCAGCACAAGGCUGGAGUGAAUGGCCGGGGCUUAACCCCGGAAAUGAUUUGGAAACUGUGCAGCUAGAGUGCAGGUGAGGUUGGUGGCGUUCCUCGUGUAGCGGUGAAAUGCGUAGAUAUUAGGAGGAACCCCAGUGGCGAUGGCGGCUUCCUGGACUGUAACUGCCGUUGAUGCUCGACAGCGUGGGGAGCAAACAGGAUUAGAUACCCCAGUAGUC
This 440-nucleotide ribosomal RNA is filed under the name uncultured bacterium. RNAcentral describes it as "partial 16S ribosomal RNA". It matches the Rfam family "Bacterial small subunit ribosomal RNA", at positions 338 to 795 of the family's 1533-position model. The record is from RNAcentral.